UGAGGAAAGUCCGGGCUUCACAGGGCAGGAUGCCGGAUAACGUCCGGUGGAGGCGACUCCCAGGAAAGUGCAACAGAAAUAAACCUCCUCUGGUCUCCAGGGGGAAGGGUGGAAAGGCAGUGUAAGAGACUACCGCCGGCGCGGCAACGUGCCGGGCAUAUGUAAACCCCAUCCGAAGCAAGGCCGAAAAGGAGCAUAAGGCGGCCCGUCUGCUCCAGGGUUGGCCGCUUGAGCCUGCCGGCAACGGCAGGCCUAGACAGAUGAUCAUUCACGACAUAACCCGGCUUAUCGUCCUGCUUG
RNAcentral lists this RNase P RNA (300 nucleotides) under bovine gut metagenome. RNAcentral's name for it is "Bacterial RNase P class A". It matches the Rfam family "Bacterial RNase P class A", at positions 42 to 363 of the family's 367-position model. Rfam says of the family: Ribonuclease P (RNase P) is a ubiquitous endoribonuclease, found in archaea, bacteria and eukarya as well as chloroplasts and mitochondria. Its best characterised activity is the generation of mature 5'-ends of tRNAs by cleaving the 5'-leader elements of precursor-tRNAs. The record is from RNAcentral.